UAUAGCACAGUUGAUUGUACAUGGCUGGUUUGGGGAUUGCUUCAAUUUUCACUUCCUGAGUGGAAGUUCGGUAGGAAGGGUUGCUGUAGGUCAGGUUCCCCAUUGCAGGAUCAGUUAACUUGGAUUUUUUGUUACCUGUACAGCAUCAAAGCCGCGAUCACCACCAGAAUAAGCAGAAUGCUGAGGAGUCCACCGAUGACAUAGCUGACAUGAAGUCCUUCCCCUAGGAAGAGCAGAGGGACGCUAGGUGGGGACCCCCGACAAUCUUCUAGCUGGUGUGAGGGGUGGGAAGAUGGAGGGCUCCUUUUGUAGCUGUUGCAUCCCAUACCAUCUGAGGAUGGCUAGGGGCCUCCUUCUCAGAGAAGAGGCCACAGCGGGAGGGGGGAGGGGGCUGAGAAGAAACCUAUCACUAUGUCAGCAUCUCUAAUCCCACUUCCACUACUUACUAGCUGUGUGACUUAAAGCAAGAUGCUUAACUUCUAAGCCUGUGUUUUCUCAUCAGUUAAAUGUAAAUAAAUUGCUCAUAGGGCUGGUGGAGAUUGAAGGUGAGUGUGUACAUACAAAUACAUAUACAUACACGCAUGCGCACAUAAAUAUGGCUUAACAAGUGCCUAGCACACAGAAAGCACUCCAUAAGUGGCAGCUAUUAUGGUUAUUCUUUUUAUGGAUUUAGUCUAAGAAAAGGGUUCAUCAACCCCAAAGAGUUCCCAUGAAGGUUCUGCAAGAUAUCAAUGGAGACUUAGAUUCCUUACAUCUUGUUUUUCAAAACAGUUGGGCACUGAGGGCUUACCUGAAGCAGCAGGUACGGCCUCAUUGGAAUACGUGCAGAGGCCCAGCCGGGCAUCCUUUUCAGAGCAUCUGUGGGGCAGAGAAAACUGAAUGUGAAGGCUACUUAUAUUCAACAAAGAUCUUGCCUUCUGCCAGGAAAUGGGGACAGUCCUGUGAAGGACAGGGCUAAAGGCCUGGGAGUGGGGCUUUCAGAUAUGAGACUAUACCAGACAGGAGAUAGCAGAAGCAAGGAGAGGGCAGGACAAGAAAAUACAGAGAAAUCAGCAUGAGCCACUGUCUUCAAGAUGCUAUAUCAUGUUUAAAUGUGUUUUAAAAUGUGUACUCUUUUUUGUUGUUGUUUUUGGCCGUGCAGCUUGUGGGAUCCCAGCUCCCUGACCAGGGAUUGAACCCAGGCCCUCGGCAGUGAAAGCGUGGAGUCCCAACCACUAGACCACCAGGGAAUUCCCUAAAAUAUGUACUCUUUAAAGAGGAUUCUUUAAAAAGGAGAAGCAGGUUUGGGAGUGAGCUGAAAGAAUACUAAGGACAUCAGUAGCAGACUUUAUUAAGCUACCAGCCAAGCAAACCUUGGAUUGGAUCAAGAUUAUCACAAGGUCUAGAGAGACUUAAAAAAAUAUAUUGUUUUUCUUUCCUUCAUUCUUUCACAAGGGAAUAUGCAAGACAUCCAGAGAGAGGGCUUGGAUAACUAGCUUGAAAUGCUGAGACGGUAACUCCUUUGUGGCACGUUAUGAGCUGGCAAGUAAAGACAUGUCCUAAAAGUUUAGAGAAGAGCUACCUGCAGGAGCAUCCGAAACCAAGAUGUACUGAGUCUUCAGAUGCAACUCUGAUAGGAAGAAAAUAUCUGAGUAGGGUUCAAAAGUUUUCUAAAUAAACCUGAAUAAAAUCAGAUUAAUAAUGAUUGUGCUUAAAAUUUAGUGAGAAAGGUACACGUUUAUAUCUGUUUGUUUUUCUAUAUAAACUCUUCUAACGAGAAAAUGGGGUAUAUAGAAUAAGUUUGAUCAUGUACAAAUCUUAUCAUUUUAGGGACGUUGAGUCUAGUGGUCUUAUUUGGAAUUAUUACUAUGUUUCUGCCUUCAGAAUUGAAAUCACGUGUUAAUUAUCUUUUAAGCUACUGUUGAUAUUAAAAAUAAUAUUACAAUGAAAAAUGUUCUAAUAGAAGAAUGCCUGGGAAGAUAGACAUCAGUAUAGUAAGAGUAGGAAAUGAAAUCACUGUCUCAAAAAGAUAUCUGCACCCCCAUGUUCAAUGUAGAAUUAUUUACAAGAGCCAAAACAUGGAAACCACCUAAGCGUCCAUCAGUGGAUGAAUGGAUAAAGAAAAUGUGGUAUAGGUAUACAGUGGAACAUUAUUCAGCCAUGAAAAAGGACAUUCUGCUAAGUAAAAUAAGUCAGACAGAGAAAGACAAAUACUAUAUGAUAUCACUUAUAUGUGGAAUCUGAAAAAGAAAAAAAAACCAACUCAUAGAUAAAUUGAUACCAUAAAGAUUGGCAGUUGCCAGAGGUUGGGGGUGGACAAAAUGAGUGAAGAUGGUCAAAAGGCUCAAACUUCCAGUUAUAAGAUAAGUUAAGUCCUGGGGAUGUAAUGUACAUCAUAGUGACUAUAGUUAACAAUAUUGUAUGUCUGAAAGUUGCUAAGAGAGUAGAUUUUAAAAGUUUUCAUUAUAAGAAAAAAAAAAGUAUAUAUGUGUGGUGAUGGAUGUUAACUGGACUUACUGUGGUAACCAUUUCACAAUAUACACAUAUAUCAAAUCAGAAAAAACACUAAAGGUAAUUACACAUGAGUACUUAUUUCUUUUUUACUCCUAUCUGUAUUUUCAGAUGAUUUUUUUUGCAAGGUGUAAAUAAAAAACAUAUUUAUAAGACUUUCUCUAAAUGGAAUAUAACAUGAUAUUUCAUCAAUUUUAAGAUGUGCAUUUUUUCUAUAUUCUAAUAUCUCUGAGAUAGGACUGUGUCUUACAAUUAAUGGCAUCUCACAGUUGCUGUUGGUCAUUUUUUCAGUUUAAUCUCUCAAAUCAGGAUGCAUUUUAAAUUGACAGCACCUUCAGUCUAAUGAAAUAUAAUGUUUUACACUUAAUUUGAGAGCCGUUCAUGGUUAUGCUUGCUUAUUUAAUAACGGGGUGUGUGUGUGUGUACACAUGCACAUACAUGCAUGUGCGUUUGAGUGUUACAGGUCAUUAUAAACUAAGGCCAUCACAUCCCUGGGGAUGUCCCAAGUUAAAAAGCCACAGCCCAGAGACCACUAUGACUUAGUGGCUUCUAAGUAAACUGUAGGACAAGACCACGUGCUAAACUUGUUCUGUGAGAGCAAACGUAACUGAAAGAAAGGAAGAAGGAGGAAUGCCGGGCAGAAACUCCUCCUGAGUGAUUUCUCUCUAAAGCUCGUCUUAAAGCUUCUUGCCUUCAGAGCUAAAAAAAAGAAUUACUUGCAACAACCUGCAAGUCUAAAUAUCAUCUCCAGUUCCAAGUAGCAGGGACAGGUGGCUAAUGAUGUGAUCUACCUCCCAUCUGCCAGAAUCAUCAAGCUGGGCCUACGGUCUUCUGCUGGCAGGGCAUGGCGAUUUGAAUCAAAGAGCCCCCAAUUCCAUACUGACCCACUUACCUCCCUUCCACCUCCUCCAGAGAUGUGCGGGUCCAGCUGGUAGAAGAACGCAAGGUCGUCGGUAGCGUGUUGGGUAGCACGGGGCUCCUUUCACUUACGCUGGUAGCCCUGGGAGCUGGGGGCACCAGGCCAGGUACUGGAGAGAAAACAAGGACUGGAGUGGAUCACUGGAGCCACAAAUAUCUACAUAUGGUCCAAGAGUAGCAUGUGGAGAACUUGAUAAAGCAAUUUUUUAGCUGCCCUGAUCCUAGGCACCCCUGUUAGAUGUCCUUCUUAAUACUGUACAUAAAAAGGAUUUGGUUUCCAAUAUAUAUUUUUUAAUAAAUUUAUUUAUUUUAUUUA
This is a long non-coding RNA of Orcinus orca (killer whale), 3724 nucleotides long. RefSeq lists it as uncharacterized. Lineage: Eukaryota; Metazoa; Chordata; Mammalia; Artiodactyla; Delphinidae. The record is from RefSeq and is a predicted model, not a curated record. The transcript is spliced from 2 exons.